Vombatus ursinus (common wombat) is the source of this 413-nucleotide long non-coding RNA. RefSeq lists it as uncharacterized. Lineage: Eukaryota; Metazoa; Chordata; Mammalia; Diprotodontia; Vombatidae. The transcript has 3 exons. The record is from RefSeq and is a predicted model, not a curated record.
GAUGAACUUUUGGAACACAACAUUCCUGAGCUGUGAACAGGCUGUACAAGUAGAGAGAGCCUCGGUGGUCAAAUGGGAGUUUAAGAACGUGACCGGAUGAAAAAGAGGGAGGCCUCAUCAUGCCUGGUUGUUUAAGUGUCCUUAGAUGAAGGAAGCUGGGACUCCAGAGCCAUAACUAGAUAAACCACCGUGCCUAGGUGGAGGGGCGGGGGAUAAAAUGGGCUCUUUAAGAAGAUUUCAUGGUGGUAGAUGAAGAAUGUCCCCUGGACAGGAUCUCUGGGACACCUCAAGUCUACUGCUGGGAAGGCUGACACCAGCAGCGGAGGCUGUGGAGCAAGGUGGUGAAGGCUGAGCCAGAAGGAAGUCAGCGGAGGUGGCGUCAUAGAGUGAUGGGCCUGGAGUUAGGAAGACUC